This 153-nucleotide ribosomal RNA is filed under the name Brachybacterium endophyticum. RNAcentral describes it as "partial 16S ribosomal RNA". It matches the Rfam family "Bacterial small subunit ribosomal RNA", at positions 1 to 149 of the family's 1533-position model. Lineage: Bacteria; Bacillati; Actinomycetota; Actinomycetes; Micrococcales; Dermabacteraceae. The record is from RNAcentral.
UUUGAUGGAGAGUUUGAUCCUGGCUCAGGACGAACGCUGGCGGCGUGCUUAACACAUGCAAGUCGAACGAUGAUGGCCGUGCUUGCACGGUCGGAUUAGUGGCGAACGGGUGAGUAACACGUGAGUAACCUGCCCCCCACUUCGGGAUAACCU